Molecule: long non-coding RNA, 2791 nt
Organism: Lagopus muta (rock ptarmigan)
Lineage: Eukaryota; Metazoa; Chordata; Aves; Galliformes; Phasianidae
Exons: 3
Source: RefSeq, a predicted model, not a curated record
AGAGUGGGCAUUAAUAUGCAGCUAUCAUAUUCUUGCAACCACUUUUAGCUGGUCUAUUCUUCACAAAACACAAUGCUAUAUUAUUGUAGAUAAGCAGGUUUAUUUCGAGAGAUUCUCAGGAAUAUUUUUGAAGUAUUGCCUGGUUGUAGCUCCAUUCAAACCUUGUUUUUUUCCUCUCUAAUUUUGAAGAUAGAGUAAUAUUUUUCUACUUUUAAAUUGGUUUGCAAUCAGCUUACCAUUCUCUAUCCUGUCAAGCUUGAGGUGGCAAUCCAGACUUGGUUGAUAGUUGAGCAUGCUGUUUUCCUACCCAGAACUGUUUCUUACUUCUUUACUAAUGCAGUGGGCCCGCAUUACCCUGUUUAUGGUAUGUAUGUUUAUGUCACAUCACAACUAUGAUCUUGAAAAUGAGAACAUACUUCCUUCAGGUAGUAAACUCCUUCAGUUACUCUCUGAUUUCAGUAGCGCUACAUCUGUACUUCAUAUUACAUCUAUGUGCAUUCUGAAGUAAGAUCAGUGACUACAUGCUUAAGACAAACUUAAAAAAAAAAAAAAAAAAAAAAGAACAGAGAAGCCUCUUUUAGAUUCAAAUAAGUUCAAUGACAACAAGCAUUAAAGCAUACAUACCUAAAAAGGGGGACAAUUUCUCCUUGACUGAAGAAUAGAACUUAUACAAAGAUAGUUAUCUGUGGUUGUCCCUGAACUCCUCUUCCUUUCCCUUUUUUCAUUCUUUUAUUCUAUUACAAUGAGAAUGUGACCUAAAGUAACCUUACAAUAACAAUGCUAAAUACUUUCUCGUGUAUAAUGGAGACAAAGUACAAGUCUGGUGUGUUUUUUUUUUUUGUCCAGACACUGGCAAUGACUCAAAUGAGAAAAGUAUAAGUUUCAAAUUUCAACAGUUAUACUUGAAACCUGUAUUUAAAUAGGUGCCUGUUUGUGAAAGACAGACGUUAUGAUCUAUUGCUAGCUUCAGUUCGAAACCACUACAGUAUACUCUACGACAAUUUCAUAAUCCUUUUUUUCCCCAGGCAAUUUUUUUUCAGGCUUGAGGCUAAUCUUGUUAUUCCUACAGGUAAGUUAACACGCUGCAUGCUUGAUUUGGAUACCACUUUGCAAUAAUUUGUUUAUGAUACCAGGUCUGGAUUACAGUUAAGUUACUUCAAACUGGUUAGUUCAACCAACAAGCUAUGAAAAAAGCAACAGGGAAUGAGGAAGGCUGCAAAUAUGGCAUUUAUUAACUAUUCAUAUCUUGUUCAGUAUUUUCAGUGCUAAUAAUCCUGGAUUAUUUCACAAGUGUGGUCUUUGUAACUAAGAGAGUAACAUUACUUCGUGCUGCUUCAGUCUAUGCAAAUCAAAAUACGGAACUACAAUUAAUCCUCUAAGCAAAACUACUUACCAGAAUCUCCAAGCUCCUAUCACAUCAGUAACUAGUCAAGGUCCUGCCCCCGUGCAGAAAUGUUCAACCAUUUGCUGAAGAUAUCAUCUCACCUUUCAAGUUUUAGCUCUGGCUUCCAAAAACCACUGUGAGUGCUUUCUAACCCUUCAAUGUAAACCUUACGUAUCAAUGGAUCAGUAUAAAGAUAUCUGUACAUGAGGUACUACAUAGGUGGUACCAGACAAAAUUUUCUACAUUACUUUUGGUGGUACAAAAAUGUUCUCUGACAAACAGGCAUAAGAUAAAUGACAGUAAUUUCUGACUUACUGUUGUAAACCAAACUCAAAUUUUCAAAACGUAUCCAAUCCAAAAUCCAAUUAUUAACAUCCUUUCUUUACACAGAAGUCAUUAACUGAUUAUUCCUUAUCAGCCGCUCAAAUCUUGGACAUCUUUCUUGACUCUAAAGAUUUGGACUUCAGCACUAAUGAAGUCACUUCAGACAUGAGAGAAAAUAAACCGUUUAACAUAUAGUUUUCUGUAUUUGCUAGAGUACAGUCAAAAAGUCCUAACAGCAGCUGUUAAAGGAUAUGACGCUCCAUGGGUAAGUUCACCACACAAAGGAUAUGUGAAUAAGUAUUUUCUGAUCUUCCUUGCUUAUAAUUUCUUCAUCACUACAGUUGCCAUUACAACUUCUAAUGAGUCAUGACUAAUUUCAUGCAUCCAGGCUCUGUAAUCUAUUCAUUAUUCCUGUAGUACUUCUAAAAUUCUCAUCUGUUAAACCAACGCACACAUAAUACAUUUUAGGCACUUUCUCCUUUCCAGGAGAGAAGCACCAUUACUCAUUCACUGAAAAAUGCAGGUGCUAAGACAUUCUUCCAUGAUUAUCAUUCAAGGAUACCACUCCCCUUCACCACAUUAAACAGCUCUUUUCCUGCAGUUUAACAUCACCCUGCACCACCUCAUGCUUUAUCAAGCUGGUGUUUCCUGAUUUCACUCCACUAAUGAGAUCAUCCUUGCUCCCUUGCUUGGCACACAAUGUCCUUUUGCCUGUCUCCCGUUUCAGCUUGGGAAAUGGCACAGAGAAUUUACAGGCCUAUAAUGCUAUUUUGUUUAAAAGCUGAAUACAAAAACAACUUGCACCUGGAGCAGCUUGGUCAUACCACACAUGUUUAAAACUUACUACAGAAGGCAUCCAGAGUGACUGUGUGAGAAAACACUACGCACAGAUGAACUACACUAAGGCAAUGUGAUAUGAAAGCCAAGAAGUUGAACAUCAGAAUUGGAGAUCAACAGCAAAAGGGAUGAAACUGCUUGUUUACAAGUUCUUCUCUGGCUGCUAGGAAAGAAAGAUACUACAGAAAAUGAUUGAAACAUUAAAAUGACUUAUUUUAGGAAAGUUCAAGAGGACUUUAAAAAAAA